UUCGACACACUAUCAUUAACUGAAUCCAUAGGUUAAUGAGGCGAACCGGGGGAACUGAAACAUCUAAGUACCCCGAGGAAAAGAAAUCAACCGAGAUUCCCCCAGUAGCGGCGAGCGAACGGGGAGCAGCCCAGAGCCUGAAUCAGUAUGUGUGUUAGUGGAAGCGUCUGGAAAGGCGCGCGAUACAGGGUGACAGCCCCGUACACAAAAAUGCACAUGCUGUGAGCUCGAUGAGUAGGGCGGGACACGUGGUAUCCUGUCUGAAUAUGGGGGGACCAUCCUCCAAGGCUAAAUACUCCUGACUGACCGAUAGUGAACCAGUACCGUGAGGGAAAGGCGAAAAGAACCCCGGCGAGGGGAGUGAAAAAGAACCUGAAACCGUGUACGUACAAGCAGUGGGAGCACGCUUAGGCGUGUGACUGCGUACCUUUUGUAUAAUGGGUCAGCGACUUAUAUUCUGUAGCAAGGUUAACCGAAUAGGGGAGCCGAAGGGAAACCGAGUCUUAACUGGGCGUUAAGUUGCAGGGUAUAGACCCGAAACCCGGUGAUCUAGCCAUGGGCAGGUUGAAGGUUGGGUAACACUAACUGGAGGACCGAACCGACUAAUGUUGAAAAAUUAGCGGAUGACUUGUGGCUGGGGGUGAAAGGCCAAUCAAACCGGGAGAUAGCUGGUUCUCCCCGAAAGCUAUUUAGGUAGCGCCUCGUGAAUUCAUCUCCGGGGGUAGAGCACU
This 731-nucleotide ribosomal RNA is filed under the name Escherichia coli. RNAcentral describes it as "partial 23S ribosomal RNA". It matches the Rfam family "Bacterial large subunit ribosomal RNA", at positions 139 to 911 of the family's 2925-position model. Lineage: Bacteria; Pseudomonadati; Pseudomonadota; Gammaproteobacteria; Enterobacterales; Enterobacteriaceae. The record is from RNAcentral.